This 1446-nucleotide ribosomal RNA is filed under the name metagenome. RNAcentral's name for it is "bacterial SSU rRNA". It matches the Rfam family "Bacterial small subunit ribosomal RNA". The record is from RNAcentral.
AGAGUUUGAUCCUGGCUCAGGAUGAACGCUGGCGGUAUGCCUAACACAUGCAAGUCGAACGAAAUCUUCGGAUUUAGUGGCGGACGGGUGAGUAACACGUGAGAAUCUACCUUAAAGUCGGGGAUAACAGUGGGAAACUACUGCUAAUACCGGAUAAGCCGCAAGGUGAAAGAUUAAUUGCUUUGAGAGGAGCUCGCGUCUGAUUAGCUAGAUGGAGAGGUAAAAGCUCACCAUGGCAACGAUCAGCAGCUGGUCUGAGAGGAUGAGCAGCCACACUGGGACUGAGACACGGCCCAGACUCCUACGGGAGGCAGCAGUGGGGAAUUUUCCGCAAUGGGCGAAAGCCUGACGGAGCAAUACUGCGUGAGGGAGGAAGGCUUUUGGGUUGUAAACCUCAAAAAUUAGGGAAGAAGAAAGUGACGGUACCUAAUAUAAGCAUCGGCUAACUCCGUGCCAGCAGCCGCGGUAAUACGGAGGAUGCAAGCGUUAUCCGGAAUCAUUGGGCGUAAAGAGUCCGUAGGUGGCUAAUCAAGUCUGCUGUCAAAGACCGAAGCUUAACUUCGGAAAGGCGGUGGAAACUGAAGAGCUAGAGUACAGAAGGGGUAGAGGGAAUUCCCAGUGUAGCGGUGAAAUGCGUAGAGAUUGGGAAGAACACCAGUGGCGAAGGCGCUCUACUGGGCUUGUACUGACACUGAGGGACGAAAGCUAGGGUAGCGAAAGGGAUUAGAUACCCCUGUAGUCUUAGCAGUAAACGAUGGAUACUAGGCGUAGCUUGUAUCGACCCGAGCUGUGCCGAAGCUAACGCGUUAAGUAUCCCGCCUGGGGAGUACGCACGCAAGUGUGAAACUCAAAGGAAUUGACGAGGACCCGCACAAGCGGUGGAGUAUGUGGUUUAAUUCGAUGCAACGCGAAGAACCUUACCAAGACUUGACAUCCGAUGGAUUUUUUCGAGAGAGAGAAGUGCCUUAGGGAACAUCGUGACAGGUGGUGCAUGGCUGUCGUCAGCUCGUGUCGUGAGAUGUUGGGUUAAGUCCCGCAACGAGCGCAACCCUCGUUUCUAGUUGCCAGCAUUAAGUUGGGGACUCUAGAGAGACCGCCGGGGAGAACUCGGAGGAAGGUGAGGAUGACGUCAAGUCAGCAUGCCCCUUACGUCUUGGGCUACACACGUACUACAAUGGUAAGGACAAAGAGAAGCGAAACCGAGAGGUGAAGCGAAUCUCAGCAAACCUUGCCUCAGUUCAGAUUGCAGGCUGAAACUUGCCUGCAUGAAGGAGGAAUCGCUAGUAAUCGCAGGUCAGCAUACUGCGGUGAAUCCGUUCCCGGGUCUUGUACACACCGCCCGUCACACCAUGGAAGUCGGUCACGCCCGAAGUCGUUACUCCAACCUGAAAAGGGGGAGGAUGCCGAAGGUGGGACUGGUGACUGGGGUGAAGUCGGAACAAGGUA